Molecule: ribosomal RNA, 253 nt
Filed under: uncultured bacterium
Lineage: Bacteria
Description: partial 16S ribosomal RNA
Rfam family: Bacterial small subunit ribosomal RNA
Source: RNAcentral
UACGUAGGGUCCGAGCGUUGUCCGGAAUUACUGGGCGUAAAGCGUGCGCAGGCGGUUUUGCAAGACAGAUGUGAAAUCCCCGGGCUUAACCUGGGAACCGCAUUUGUGACUGCAUAGCUGGAGUACGGCAGAGGGGGAUGGAAUUCCGCGUGUAGCAGUGAAAUGCGUAGAUAUGCGGAGGAACACCGAUGGCGAAGGCAGUCCCCUGGGCCUGUACUGACGCUCAUGCACGAAAGCGUGGGGAGCAAACAGG